GACGAACGCUGGCGGCGUGCUUAACACAUGCAAGUCGAACGGAAAGGCCCUGCUUUUGUGGGGUGCUCGAGUGGCGAACGGGUGAGUAACACGUGAGUAACCUGCCCUUGACUUUGGGAUAACUUCAGGGAACUGGGGCUAAUACCGGAUAGGAGCUCCUGCUGCAUGGUGGGGGUUGGAAAGUUUCGGCGGUUGGGGAUGGACUCGCGGCUUAUCAGCUUGUUGGUGGGGUAGUGGCCUACCAAGGCUUUGACGGGUAGCCGGCCUGAGAGGGUGACCGGCCACAUUGGGACUGAGAUACGGCCCAGACUCCUACGGGAGGCAGCAGUGGGGAAUAUUGCACAAUGGGCGGAAGCCUGAUGCAGCAACGCCGCGUGCGGGAUGACGGCCUUCGGGUUGUAAACCGCUUUCGCCUGUGACGAAGCGUGAGUGACGGUAAUGGGUAAAGAAGCACCGGCUAACUACGUG
Molecule: ribosomal RNA, 468 nt
Filed under: uncultured bacterium
Lineage: Bacteria
Description: partial 16S ribosomal RNA
Rfam family: Bacterial small subunit ribosomal RNA
Source: RNAcentral